UCUAGAACUCGAGAUAUGGGCUGAACACUGAACAGUGUCUGGGCUGCAGGACAGAUUCAGACUUCUUUGUUGUUGCUAUAAUUUGGACUUGAAAACGGCCUUGUUAAAUCUUGGACUCCUCAUGAAAGUUGUAGGCCUAUGUCUUAGCUUUCCAUC
Molecule: non-coding RNA, 156 nt
Organism: Populus trichocarpa (black cottonwood)
Lineage: Eukaryota; Viridiplantae; Streptophyta; Magnoliopsida; Malpighiales; Salicaceae
Source: Rfam